RNAcentral lists this ribosomal RNA (216 nucleotides) under Glomeromycotina sp. RNAcentral's name for it is "partial small subunit ribosomal RNA". The stretch from base 44 to 216 matches the Rfam family "Eukaryotic small subunit ribosomal RNA", at positions 690 to 864 of the family's 1831-position model. Lineage: Eukaryota; Fungi; Glomeromycota. The record is from RNAcentral.
GGGUCAGUAGGUUGGUCGUGCCACCGGUACGUACUGGUCUCACUGAUUCCUCCUUCCUGAAGAACCGUAAUGCCAUUAAUUUGGUGUUGCGGGGAAACAGGACUGUUACUUUGAAAAAAUUAGAGUGUUUAAAGCAAGCUAACGCUUGAAUACAUUAGCAUGGAAUAAUGAAAUAGGACGAUCGACCCUAUUUUGUUGGUCUCUAGGAUUGACGUA